GUGUCAGCCGCCGCGGUAAUACGUAGGGUGCAAGCGUUGUCCGGAAUUAUUGGGCGUAAAGAGCUCGUAGGCGGUCUGUCGCGUCGGCUGUGAAAACCCGGAGCUCAACUCCGGGCCUGCAGUCGAUACGGGCAAACUGGAGUGUUGCAGGGGAGACUGGAAUUCCUGGUGUAGCGGUGAAAUGCGCAGAUAUCAGGAGGAACACCGGUGGCGAAGGCGGGUCUCUGGGCAACAACUGACGCUGAGGAGCGAAAGCGUGGGGAGCGAACAGGAUUAGAAACCCUAGUAGUCC
RNAcentral lists this ribosomal RNA (292 nucleotides) under uncultured bacterium. Its description in RNAcentral is "partial 16S ribosomal RNA". It matches the Rfam family "Bacterial small subunit ribosomal RNA", at positions 505 to 796 of the family's 1533-position model. The record is from RNAcentral.